RNAcentral lists this ribosomal RNA (497 nucleotides) under uncultured bacterium. RNAcentral describes it as "partial 16S ribosomal RNA". It matches the Rfam family "Bacterial small subunit ribosomal RNA", at positions 28 to 508 of the family's 1533-position model. The record is from RNAcentral.
GAUGAACGCUGGCGGCGUGCCUAAUACAUGCAAGUCGAGCGAACAGACUAGGAGCUUGCUCCUCUGACGUUAGCGGCGGACGGGUGAGUAACACGUGGAUAACCUACCUAUAAGACUGGGAUAACUUCGGGAAACCGGAGCUAAUACCGGAUAAUAUAUUGAACCGCAUGGUUCAAUAGUGAAAGACGGUUUUGCUGUCACUUAUAGAUGGAUCCGCGCCGCAUUAGCUAGUUGGUAAGGUAACGGCUUACCAAGGCAACGAUGCGUAGCCGACCUGAGAGGGGGUUCGCCCACAGGAGAACUGAGACAGGCCCCGGACCCCGGCGGGGGGAAGCAUGGGGGAUCCUUCCAGAAGGGGCGAAGGCCGGCCGGAGCAACGCCGGGUGAGUGUGAAAGUUCUUCGUAUCCAAAAACUUGUUUAUGAGGAAAAAAAAAGUGUGUAAUAAACUUUGCCCUUCUUGCCGUUACCUAAUAAAAAGCCCCCGGCUACUUCCGGC